GUUGCUUUUCUUUGUAUGGGAAAUCAGAGUGCCCAAGUUUACAAGCUGGUUGGCAUUCAUACUGAGAAGCAUAAAUCAACUUAGCCAGUUUUAAACAGCACGAUGUUUGUUCUGUAGCAUUGUGUUACCUGUCUUCUGGUAUAUGU
This is a small nucleolar RNA of Ziziphus jujuba (common jujube), 146 nucleotides long. RefSeq annotates it as small nucleolar RNA snoR137. The transcript has a single exon. NCBI's taxonomy places the organism in Eukaryota, Viridiplantae, Streptophyta, Magnoliopsida, Rosales, Rhamnaceae. The record is from RefSeq and is a predicted model, not a curated record.